GAUGAACGCUAGCUACAGGCUUAGCACAUGCAAGUCGAGGGGAAACGGCAUUAAGUGCUUGCACUUUUUGGACGUCGACCGGCGCACGGGUGAGUAACGCGUAUCCAACCUUCCCAUGACUAAGGGAUAACCUGCCGAAAGGCAGACUAAUACCUUAUGGUCUUCACUGACGGCAUCAGAUGUGAAGUAAAGAUUUAUCGGUUAUGGAUGGGGAUGCGUCUGAUUAGCUUGUUGGCGGGGUAACGGCCCACCAAGGCAACGAUCAGUAGGGGUUCUGAGAGGAAGGUCCCCCACAUUGGAACUGCGACACGGUCCAAACUCCUACGGGAGGCAGCAGUGAGGAAUAUUGGUCAAUGGGCGAGAGCCUGAACCAGCCAAGUAGCGUGCAGGAUGACGGCCCUAUGGGUUGUAAACUGCUUUUGUAUGGGGAUAAAGUCAAUCACGUGUGAUUGUUUGCAGGUACCAUACGAAUAAGGACCGGCUAAUUCCGUG
RNAcentral lists this ribosomal RNA (492 nucleotides) under uncultured bacterium. Its description in RNAcentral is "partial 16S ribosomal RNA". It matches the Rfam family "Bacterial small subunit ribosomal RNA", at positions 28 to 507 of the family's 1533-position model. The record is from RNAcentral.